AGCGGCGGACGGGUGAGUAACGCGUGGGUAACCUGCCUCAUACAGGGGAGUAACAGUUGGAAACGGCUGCUAAUACCGCAUAAGCGCACAGUACUGCAUGGUACGGUGUGAAAAACUCCGGUGGUAUGAGAUGGACCCGCGUCUGAUUAGGUAGUUGGUGGGGUAACGGCCUACCAAGCCGACGAUCAGUAGCCGACCUGAGAGGGUGACCGGCCACAUUGGGACUGAGACACGGCCCAA
This 240-nucleotide ribosomal RNA is filed under the name uncultured bacterium. Its description in RNAcentral is "partial 16S ribosomal RNA". It matches the Rfam family "Bacterial small subunit ribosomal RNA", at positions 94 to 334 of the family's 1533-position model. The record is from RNAcentral.